RNA transcript from Mandrillus leucophaeus (drill), 2118 nucleotides. It is a transcript of the gene named chromosome unknown open reading frame, human C17orf80, with no coding region annotated. Lineage: Eukaryota; Metazoa; Chordata; Mammalia; Primates; Cercopithecidae. The record is from RefSeq and is a predicted model, not a curated record. The transcript has 6 exons.
UGACGCGGUUUCCUGGCCGGGGGUUGGGCAGGCGCUUGGGGGGCUUCCCUCGGGGGCUUGUCGCCGGGGCUGCCUGGGCUUUCGGGUCUUCCGAGGCUGACAUUCACGUUUCAUUCUGCCACACUCGGGAACGGUGAUCGGGGAAGAAUGGGGAUCCGGGAGAAGCACUCGCAAAACUAGCAUCCUCCUGGAGGAGCUCGGGAAUAGGAUGAGUGAUAAUCCACCCAGAAUGGAAGUGUGUCCUUAUUGUAAGAAGCCAUUUAAACGAUUAAAAUCCCACUUGCCAUACUGUAAGAUGAUAGGAUCAACCAUACCUACUGAUCAAAAAGUUCAUCAGUCCAAGCCAGCUACACUCCCACGUGCUAAAAAAAUGAAAGGGCCAAUCAAAGAUUUAAUUAAAGCUAAAGGGAAAGAGUUAGAGACAGAGAAUGAAGAAAGAAAUUCUAAGUUGAUGAUGGACAAACCAGAACAGACAGUGAAGACCUUUCCACUACCAGCUGUUGGUUUGGAAAGAGCAACUACUACAAAGGCAGAUAAAGACAUCAAGAAUCCAAUCCAACCAUCCUUCAAAAUGUUAAAAAAUACUAAGCCAAAGACUACUUUCCAAGAAGAAACCAAGGCUCAGUUUUAUGCAUCAGAGAAAACCUCUCCUAAAAGAGAACUUGCCAAAGAUUUGUCUAAAUUCGGAGAAAGUCAAUGUAAUCUUUCAGAAGCUGGAGCGUCUUUACUGGUUGGCUCAAUAGAACCUUCUUUGUCAAAUCAAGAUAGAAAAUAUUCCUCAACUGUACCUAAUGAUGUACAGACUACCUCUGGUGAUCUGAAAUUGGACAAAAUUGAUCCCCAAAGACAGGAACUUCUAGUAAAAUUACUAGACGUGCCUACUGGUGAUUGUCAUAUUUCUCCAAAGAAUGUCAGUGAUGAGGUUAAAAGGGUAAGAAUAUCAUUAUUAAGCAAUGAGAGAGAUUCCAAAGGCAGGGAUCACCUCUCAGGAGUCCCUACUGAUGUUACAGUUACUGAGACUCCAGAAAAGAACACAGAAUCACUCAUUUUAAGCCUUAAAAUGAGCUCAUUGGGUAAAAUCCAAGUCACGGAGAAACAAGAGAAAGGACUUACUCUUGGAGUAGAGACGUGUGGGAGCAAAGGAAAUGCAGAGAAAAGUGUGUCUGCAACAGAAAAGCAGGAACGGACUGUCAUGAGCCAUGGCUGUGAGAACUUCAACACCAAUGAUUCAGUCACAGAAAAGAAGUCUCAAGGAGAAGGACCACAUUUAAGUUUGUUCAUUCCAAGGGAGACAACUUAUGAGUUUCAUUCUGUAUCGCAGUCAAGUAGUCAAAGUCUUGCUUCUCUAGCUACAAAAUUUCUUCCAGAAAAGAAAGCAGAAGCCUGGAAUCAUAAUCGUGUCCCUGAUGUAAAGGCAUUAACGGAGAGUCCCGAGGGACAGGUGUCUCUGGAGCCCAAAUCUGAUAGUCAGUUCCAAGCAUCACACACUAGGUGCCAGAGUCCUUUAUGUUCAGCCCAGCAUCACACUCCUCAGAGCCCCUUCACCAAUCAUGCUGCAGCUGCUGGCAGGAAGACCCUUCUCAGCUGUGUGGGACUGGAGUGGUUUCCAGAGCUCUAUCCUGGUUACCUUGGACUAGGGGUGUUGCCAGGGAAGCCUCAGCGUUGGAAUGCAGUGGCCCAGAAGCCACAACUUACGACUCCCCAGGGGGAAAGACUCUCACAAGUUUCUUUGUUGGAAAGAGCUCAACACAUAUAAGGAGUUUGGAACCCCCUACCGGACUUACAACCUCCAACUUCUCUCUAAUGAGGCUCUUGGGAGCUGUACAAAAAGGCUGGAUCAGGUGCAACACCACCAUAAGGAAGAGUGGAGUCGGUGGCAUCACGAUGCUCUUCACAGGGUACUUCGUCCUGUGUUGUAGCUGGAGUUUCAGACGUCUGAAGCUGCAGCGCUGGCGUAAGUGGUGUUGACCUGGACAUCACUUAAAGUUCUGGAACAGCAAAGAGCGUACGGUGGAGACGACUGCAAUACAUACUUAACAAUUUAAAAAUGUGUAAUAUGUGGGACAGGGAGAGGGAGUCAAAAAAAAAAUAAAGAAUAAAAUUAUUGGAAUCUAAAAU